This 378-nucleotide ribosomal RNA is filed under the name Strombidiidae sp. RNAcentral's name for it is "partial small subunit ribosomal RNA". It matches the Rfam family "Eukaryotic small subunit ribosomal RNA", at positions 582 to 975 of the family's 1831-position model. Lineage: Eukaryota; Ciliophora; Spirotrichea; Strombidiidae. The record is from RNAcentral.
AUUCCAGCUCCAAUAGCGUAUAUUAAAGUUGUUGCAGUUAAAAAGCUCGUAGUUGGAUUUCUGACAGGGGGCCGAACACCACUGUAGUGAGUGUUUUGGAACCUGUCAUCCUUCUGUUAACCCUAGCGUCAUUCAUUUGUCGUUGGGCGGACCAGAUACUUUACCUUGAGAAAAUUAGAGUGUUUCAGGCAGGCCUAGCCGGAAUACAUUAGCAUGGAAUAAUGGAAUAGGACUAUAGUCUCGUCGUUGGUUACGUGGACUGCAGUAAUGAUUAAUAGGGAUAGUUGGGGGCAUUAGUAUUUAUUAGCUAGAGGUGGAAUUCUCUAAUUUGAUAAAGACUAACUUAUGCGAAAGCAUUUGCCAAGGAUGUUUUCAUUG